RNAcentral lists this ribosomal RNA (497 nucleotides) under uncultured bacterium. Its description in RNAcentral is "partial 16S ribosomal RNA". It matches the Rfam family "Bacterial small subunit ribosomal RNA", at positions 28 to 507 of the family's 1533-position model. The record is from RNAcentral.
GAUGAACGCUGGCGGCGUGCCUAAUACAUGCAAGUCGAGCGAACAGACGAGGAGCUUGCUCCUCUGAUGUUAGCGGCGGACGGGUGAGUAACACGUGGAUAACCUACCUAUAAGACUGGGAUAACUUCGGGAAACCGGAGCUAAUACCGGAUAACAUGUUGAACCGCAUGGUUCAACAGUGAAAGACGGUUUUGCUGUCACUUAUAGAUGGAUCCGCGCCGCAUUAGCUAGUUGGUAAGGUAACGGCUUACCAAGGCAACGAUGCGUAGCCGACCUGAGAGGGUGAUCGGCCACACUGGAACUGAGACACGGUCCAGACUCCUACGGGAGGCAGCAGUAGGGAAUCUUCUGCAAUGGGCGAAAGCCUGACGGAGCAACGCCGCGUGAGUGAAGAAGGUCUUCGGAUCGUAAAACUCUGUUAUUAGGGAAGAACAAAUGUGUAAGUAACUAUGCACGUCUUGACGGUACCUAAUCAGAAAGCCACGGCUAACUACGUG